GAAAAGUUGGCAUUUAUCAAAAUGCUUCAAAUUUAUGGAUGCGUACAGCAUGAGGAGAAAGGUGAAGGGCAGGAAACAGAGGCGUUUAUUAGAACAGUUGCACACCGUGUUUCCUUCCUAGAAGAGAAAGUGCCCGAAGCAAAGAAGAGUCAUGGUGCCUUUUUAAUACCACUUUCCAACUGUUUCGAUAUGCAGUUAUCCCAUCUUUAAAAACGUCUGGGACAUACCUUAACUCUGUAAAGAACAUCAUGAAUAUGCAGUCUGGUUAACAGGCAUGGAAAGGACACGACCUCCUCCAGGAGUGGCACUUUAAGAUCUGCCAAAACUCUAUCAAACCAAAGACUUUUUCCCUAUGAACAAUGUAGGUACCAAGUAUCAAAAUCAUUGAUUUCUGUCUCUUUUAUAAAAGGCUGGGUUUGUUCUUAUGGUUCAUACUUUAUAUAUGUAAGUAGAAGCAACUGUUAUACUUCAGAUCUUUGGUUAGCAUCUGUAAAAGGAAGCUGAAACUUUCCAAUCAUGUUGUGGCCGUAUAGAGGCUGGAACAUUUAUUCUAAGAUUUGAUCACAGUAGUUUACACCAUAAGCUUACAGAACCAGCAAAGCAAAUAUAUAAAGCAUCACAUUUUUAUACUUAAAAUGAUCAGAAGCUUAAAGAAUGUGCUAGUAUUGCAUGCUAAAACUGCCAGCCUCACAAAUCAUCAGGAUACACCACAGAGCAUGAAAUCAGGGUCAGAAUUUAACAAUUCAAUAAACCACAUAUGGCCAAACCUUCUAGCACUCCAAAGCAGGAAUAGGGUUUUAAAAGCUGUUGCGUAACACAAGCUGAGUAAUAUGAAUAAACUUUUUGCAAUGUUGUUAUGGACCUUUGGAUGUGCCAUUUUGUAAGAGUCAUUCUGUUUAACCAGAACUUGAAGUAGAAUAUUCAUCUCCCCACCUGUAGCUUGUUUUUUUUUUUUUUGUCUAGGUGAACAAAAAACAAUUAUCUGAAUAAGGAAAAUUAGAAAGAGGAGGUUAUAUACGUAGGUUAGAAGAUACUUGUCUCCUUUAUGUACAGAAGAUCUCACUAUGGCAACAAAAAGGAGGUCAAGAUGGUAGAUUGCUUCUGAAAGAUAAGCAUUUCAGAUAGUUGGCUUUGCAAAUAGUACAAUUUGAAUAAAUAGAAAUAAAUGCUCUUACUUUAAAAAUGCCUGUGAAAAAAACUUAAUCUGGAGGCUCAUAUGCAAGUACUACAAUGGGAAGCAGGGAGAAAGAAGGAAAAAAAAAAGCUUAUAGUGAAUGUAAAGCUCUAUGGCUUUGAGCAACCAUGGAGUCCAAUGCUGAAAUAAGUGAACUCAACGUUUUCAUAUUUAUUAGUGGAACUGGUGAUGAAAGAUAAAGUGAAUUAAAAUACAAAGCAACAGACAGACCUAGUCAGCGUCUGUGCCCUGCAGUGCAGGCUAUCGUAAUGGAUUACUACAAAUGAACUACUGUUACAGAGAAGAAAACUAAUUACAAAAGGCACAGAAUACUCAUUAUACCAGCCAUUUUAGCAAAACAUCAGCUUCUUUAUUAACAGAAAUGAAGGAACAGUACAGACACCAUACUCCUGGAAUCUUUAGGUUCUGAUAAAAACUGAGGUAAGCUGUGUAGGAACACAGCUGGGAGAACUGUACUUGCUGAGGCACAUCUCAGCUGCAGGUCAGUGCAAGGAAGGGUGGCUCAAAGUUACAGGAAUAACAAACCCAUGAGCACCCACAGAAAUAUAGUUAAAAGUGUCAGAUAAAAAUGCAAAUACCUCUACCCAUUCUCAGGCUGUCCUUGCCAGUCUUGGGUAUUUGUCAAGACAAAUUACCAGGUCACACUCCCUUAAAGUUCUUCUUGCAUGAUGCUGUCUUGUAUCUUGAAGUAAUGUGUAUGCUCAUCAUCCACUUCCUUCUCAGGAGUUAAGCGUUUAGAUUUCAGGUAACGUUUCAGAUGAAAACACGUUUCACUUUGCUUCAAUUCAGGUAAACUGGCUAAAGGAAAUUCUUUAGCUAAGGGAUCUUUCUGUUCUCUUACGCGGGCCAAAGCUGGGAUGCAAACUGUUUUCUCAGAAUUUAUUUAAGAGGUCAGACUGAGCUGGCUACUCAGCAACAGCUAGCAUGCUUCUAGAGCCCUCACACAGAACUCUAGUAACAUAUGUACAAAUCGGAUAUCUUCCAUCUCACUUAAUUAUAACGCUCCAAUAAACUACUCUAUUAUAAACACAAUCUAGACUUAAGGCUCCUUUUUAUUGGGCCAUUUACUAUUUCUGCUUCAUGACUACUACAAAAAAUGUGCUUUGCCUCAAGUGUAGAAAGGAACUCUUGCCCAGGCUAAGGUGCAGAUUUUAAGAGCAGCUUGUUUGAAAUACUGGAGUUCAUGCUAAAACUUAAACAUGUCUUCCUUGAUAUUUCUGUUAAGUACUAAUUUUAUGCAAAACCUUUACUUUAGUCACUACGUAAAACUGUAUUUCCUAUCGUGGCAUUUUCUGG
This is a long non-coding RNA of Gallus gallus (chicken), 2491 nucleotides long. The record is from Ensembl. Lineage: Eukaryota; Metazoa; Chordata; Aves; Galliformes; Phasianidae.